This 190-nucleotide unclassified non-coding RNA is filed under the name uncultured Pezizaceae. Its description in RNAcentral is "sequence contains ITS2". The record is from RNAcentral. Lineage: Eukaryota; Fungi; Ascomycota; Pezizomycetes; Pezizales; Pezizaceae.
AGCAACUCUCAGGCACGGCUUUUUUGCCAGGCCUGGAUCAUGUCAGACAGGCAGGUGACCAGCGGUCGCUCUGCCCUUUGUAAAACCAUGGAUAUUUUCAAGAUUUGUUGCAUUCCAACGUCAUAGAAUGUUUGAUUCGUUGGUAUUGUCAACUUCAGAUGUCGCCAAAAGACCCACAAAAUUCUUAUGU